CAGUAGCCGCGGGAAUACGUAGGGUGCAAGCGUUAAUCGGAAUUACUGGGCGUAAAGCGUGCGCAGGCUGUUAUAUAAGACAGAUGUGAAAUCCCCGGGCUCAACCUGGGAACUGCAUUUGUGACUGUAUAGCUAGAGUACGGCAGAGGGGGAUGGAAUUCCGCGUGUAGCAGUGAAAUGCGUAGAUAUGCGGAGGAACACCGAUGGCGAAGGCAAUCCCCUGGGCCUGUACUGACGCUCAUGCACGAAAGCGUGGGGAGCAAACAGGAUUAGAUACCCCUGUAGUCCCUGUCUCUUAUAA
Molecule: ribosomal RNA, 301 nt
Filed under: uncultured bacterium
Lineage: Bacteria
Description: partial 16S ribosomal RNA
Rfam family: Bacterial small subunit ribosomal RNA
Source: RNAcentral